Molecule: ribosomal RNA, 506 nt
Filed under: uncultured bacterium
Lineage: Bacteria
Description: partial 16S ribosomal RNA
Rfam family: Bacterial small subunit ribosomal RNA
Source: RNAcentral
AUUGAACGCUGGCGGCAGGCUUAACACACGCAAGUCGAGCGGUAACAGAGAGAAGCUUGCUUCUCUGCUGACGAGCGGCGGACGGGUGAGUAAUGCCUAGGAAUCUGCCUAGUAGUGGGGGAUAACUUGCCGAAAGGUAAGCUAAUACCGCAUACGUCCUACGGGAGAAAGGAGGGGACCUUCGGGCCUCUCGCUAUUAGAUGAGCCUAGGUCGGAUUAGUUGGUUGGUGAGGUAAUGGCUCACCAAGACCGCGAUCCGUAACUGGUCUGAGAGGAUGAUCAGUCACACUGGAACUGAGACACGGUCCAGACUCCUACGGGAGGCAGCAGUGGGGAAUAUUGGACAAUGGGGGGAACCCUGAUCCAGCCAUGCCGCGUGUGUGAAGAAGGUCUUAGGAUUGUAAAGCACUUUAAGUUGGGAGGAAGAGCAGUUAACUAAUAUUUGACUGUUUUGACGUUACCGACAGAAUAAGCACCGGCUAACUUCGUGCCAGCCGCCGCAGUAA